GCUCAGUCCUGAAGUCCCCAGCUUAGUCUGAGGCUUCACCUUCCAGCCUCCCAACAUCUCCUGCAAAAAUGGAUGGCAUUCAUACUUUCGCUCCGGGGACAACAUCAGGUGGGGAGUUUGACUGGGGUGGUACACCUGUCAAAGUGUAAUGCAGAUGUCCUAAGGCAAGCUCAGGGAGGCCAGAAACCUCUCUUGGAGCAGAAGAGCAAAAGCCCACUUGAUCUUGAUCUAUUGAUCUAUUGAUCUACCUUGCUGUUUUUGUUUUCAAAUUGAAAAACUGAUUUUUCA
RNAcentral lists this non-coding RNA (288 nucleotides) under Meleagris gallopavo (turkey). Its description in RNAcentral is "Eukaryotic large subunit ribosomal RNA". It matches the Rfam family "Eukaryotic large subunit ribosomal RNA", at positions 2545 to 2770 of the family's 3401-position model. Lineage: Eukaryota; Metazoa; Chordata; Aves; Galliformes; Phasianidae. The record is from Rfam by way of RNAcentral.